This is a non-coding RNA of Podarcis lilfordi (Lilford's wall lizard), 8278 nucleotides long. Lineage: Eukaryota; Metazoa; Chordata; Lepidosauria; Squamata; Lacertidae. The record is from the annotation of a GenBank genome assembly.
AUAUCUGGGGGAAAUUUCUCAGCACACACUUUGUUGUGUAAUGUUGAAAUUGAUAAAUCGAAGCACAAUGCACCUAAGCUGAGUACAAUGUCCUAAGAGCUUCACUGAGUCUCUUUGUCUUAUAAUAGGAACAAGCUAGAUCUCAUGCAGCAGAUCUGUAAUCGAAUCUCCCAAUUUUUAUUUGCUUAAAAGAAUUUAACUGGGACCUCAAUUUGGAUUGGAAGAAAGCUGCUGGGUGAGAGCAGAUUAAGCCUUCCUCCGUGUCAUUUUCCAGAAUUAAAUCAGCCUUACCUUUUUCCUAAAGCUACUAUUAGCCAUAUGCAAGAGGCAAAAGGUAGCUGCACAUUAUGCUUGUCCCUUUCGCCUCAUUGCCAAUAGCAAAUGAGGAGGUGUGUGACUGACAUUGCAAAAGGUUUUUCACACACACAUCCAUAUAAUGCAAUGGCUUUGAUCCCCUCUCCUCCCAUGGCUACCUUUAAGCAAUCAUGGUUUUCCCACAUCACAUUUAUUACACACACACACACACACACUUUUGGGGGGCUGUCACUAGGGGCUAACCUAUGCAUGUUCCCAGAACAUAUUGCUUGUGUUCUUAAAGCUUUUCUCAUAGAAGCAAACAAGCAUCAAAAUGUUAAGUAGGCUGGGAUCCUUCUCUACAUUGUGAAGGAGUAGGAUUCAUCCUACUAGAAAGGCCAGGCCUCUGUGUUCCAGAAGCAAAGCAUGGUUUCACAGGCUCACUUAAAAUUCCGUGAGCUGUGCUGUAGGUAAGAUGGUGGAGAAUAUUCACUGAUGUACAUGUCCACAGUGACCAUGUAGUGCAAUCACUCUUGGAAGGUUGUUUGUUUGUUUAUUUGUUUGUUUGUUUGUUUGUUUGUUUUUGCAAUGGCAUGGAGUCAGGCAGCCAAAACUGUGAUUCAUGCAGACAUGCACACCAUGGUGUGCUGUUGAGCAGCAUGCAUGGGGGUCAAAUGUGCUGAAUUUGAUAUGAAUGGCUGCUAGGUGGUUGAAUGAAGUAGGACAGUGUGGUUGAAGUGUUGAUUAAAUUAUAAAUGGCUAGAAUCCUGUUUUAGAUGUCUUUUGUAAUGGGCUAUAUUUUUAAGUACUGUAGCAUAUAUUGGAUUUGUACUGGAGACUGCAUGGAUGAUACUCUUAGUUUAUGUUUUACUGGUCUUUUGAGUGGUGGUUUCCCACUAUUGUGACUGACGACGGCCUUUGGCUAAGCAAUAAUGAUUUGUAUUUGGGUGCUAAAUGCCUGCGUAAAACUGCCCAAGGGUUGCAUCUAAUUGUCAUCUCCCGAUAUUGCCGGUUUCAUGACUGAAUUUAAUUAGAUAUGAGAGGAGAGAUUGAUGGAUAAAAGGGGAACAGGGUUUCUGUUUUGUGUAAACCAUCUGAGAGGAAUUCAUCUGUUUGAUUAUGAAACUAGUGGUGGCCCCAACCAUUACUAGCUUGUAUUAGUCAUUUGUAGCCUAACAAAAUGAUUUGAAAAGCUUCCCUGCUUGGUGACCUGGAAUUCAUCCUUACCACCAGCAAGCAGGCAAGCAGCUAUUUACAAGCCUGUGCUGAACUAGCACAUAUGUUGACUCAAGACAGUCCUUCCAUAUGAAUUGCAGAGUACUGAAUACUUGGGCAUGGUUUGGCUAAUCAUUCCAGGCUUCAUGAAUCCUGGUUUAUGAAGCUAAAUAUGAGUAUCAAGGCCUAACGCUCCUCUUUCAUCCCUUCUAUGAGUGCAUGAUCCUGGUUUAUUUACCUUGUUUGUCAGCUGACAUUAAUCCAGAGUUCUCCUGUUCAGUUAGAAUGCAGAACUUAGCAUACAGAUCUUUGUACUGAAGCUGGCAUGCAGUCAUGAACCACAGUUUAUGAAGUCAAACCAGGCCUCUAUUUCAGCAUCUUUUCUCUGCUCCCGAUCUUGUAUCGGGCAAUGGGGCAUGUUUGUGGCUCAGGAAGGGAAAUACGCCAAUCAGCUUGGUGACACACACCCCCAGACACUUUUGAGUGUGAUGGGGGGCUCCUUAAGCCUGCACCUUCAGAAUUUAGGGCAGGAGCAGAAUAUGGAGUAUAUUUGGGAUCAGUCUGACUGAUCUACUCAGAAUUUUAGGGCCAAGGGGAGGUGAUACAGAAAGGCCUUUACACUCACCUUUAGGGUGGGGUUGGUACAAUGCCUCCCCUUAUCCUGGCAGGGGCUGGUUGCCCUACAGCUGCAGGUGCUUGCUGAAAAUUGGUAUGUAGCUCCCACACCGAUCGCUUUCUCACUGCAGGCUAUGCUAUGUUUAUUUUAAUGAAGUGGUCCAUAGUUCAACCAAUCUACCGUGUCAGAGAGUUUUCAUUUCAACCCUCGGCCACAGUGUCUGACAUCUAUAAAGCUUGCUGUCUGGAAUCAUCUUUCCACACAAGAUCACUUGUCUUCUCUAGUAGCUAAUUCUGUCCCCUGGAACACUGUGUUUCGGAGGCUAGUCUAUGGUCACCCAGCUGAAGCAAGCACAAAACUCUCCCGCCUCCACCGCUCACACACACACAUUAAAGUGGCAACAUGACUUUAAGUUUCAAAAUCUCUUUAUCUCAGCUUUGCAGUUCCAGUAGGUGAUAUGAGCAUUUAAUGCCUCAGGUUGCCUGCCGAGUCGAAGAGCAGCAGAGAAUGGCCUUGGUGCAUAAGCAGCCCAGGAGGCACAAUUACUUUCCAAAAUAGGGAGUUAAGAAGAAAUGAGAGUGAGAUGGGCCUUCUCCUCAGAUGUUGGCAUCCUAAGGAUUUUAUCUCCCUGUCCGUCAUUGAAGUCUGUACCUUGUUGAGUUUAAUACAUUUGCUGUGGUAUUUCAACCAGUCAAGCAUGCUGGCCUUUCUUCUUGUUGUCUGUGUGGCAUUAAAUGCUGAUUCAUAGUUUACAAUAAUCUCAUAUCUUCCAACAUUUCUCCAAUGAAAAUAGGAAUGUCAGUUGCCAUUUUUCUAGAAAAAUAGGAGCUGGAACACACCUCCCUUGUUCUCUUAGAAUGGCAGUGGUGCCCACCUGAGAGGUGCCAGCUGAAAAAAAAAGCUCUGGGUAUAUCCUAUUCCAUACCCUCCAACAUUUCUCCAAUGAAAACAGGGACUAUUUAAAGAAAAGCAGAACAUCCCGGGAUCAAAUCAGAAACUGGGAUGGCUUCUGUAAAUCCGGGACUGUCCCUGGAAUAAUAGGGAAACUUGAAGGGUAUGUAAUUUCCUUUUCACUUAUGUCUGAUGAUGAGCAGUUCAUGUGUGGACAUGUUAAAUGUCAGAUGUAGGUUGCAGGAUGGUAGAUCUACAAGGCAUGUUCAGGUAUUCACCUGAACAUGUACACACUGAAACUGCAUAUGGGGGGUGGGCAUUUAAGUUAGCCUCUAGCACUUAAUCCCUGGCCAUCUCCAUGUUGGGUGAGGAAGGUCUGCAGAAAGUUUAUAUAUUAUGGUGUGGAAGAUUGUUAAGUAAAACCUGGAAGGACACAAUUUGCUCACUUGAGUAAGAGAAGGAGCAAGUUAUUUUUGCCAUUUAUUUUUUUUCAUUCAUAAAAACUACCUAACUCUGUAAUUACCCUUGCAUGUGCUGCAUUGUCCAUUGGCCAGUAGUCAGUUGUGGGAGGAAAUCAUUCUGGGUUGUUGUUUUCCAUUUCCUUGAUGGACAGUAUCUGUUUGGCCAUUUGUGAAAUUUUGAAUGCUUUCAGCAAAUAUUCCAUCACUGUAGGUAGGGCAGAAAUAAUUUGACUUGUCUUCCUUUUGCUCACAUCAAAAGAAGCAUAAUAGACCAAACCACCAUGCAACUUCCAUUGACUAAAAAUAUGAAAUUGGAGGUCUUUAGAUACUUUCCAGUGAAGUCUUGGAAUUCAAAAUGCCUUGCUAUUGUUCAUAUCUUUACGUCUUCUUACAAACUCAGAGGGCUAUGGAAUUCAUAUUUUUCUUAAGAAUACAACCAAUCCAAACUACAAUCCAAAAUUCUGACAGUUUUACCAUUAUUUUAAAAUAAUUGCAGUUUUAGUUCAAUUGUGGGGAUCAAAUCCCUUUUAGUCUUAAAUUGUCUAUAUAAUAAGCUAGACAUGCAGCCAUAACACAGUGUUGGUUUCACUAUUAGAUUUCUUCCAGCCUGGUAAAAAUCAGUCUGCCACCACUUCAAUGCACGGUGAAAUGUAAUCGGCAUUAAUGUGAAAAUACCAUUUUAGUGGGUCUUUUUAUUUCCUCUGGAUUGCAAAGAAUAUUUAGUAGGGAUCUUCAGUGCAAACCCCUUUGAAAUGAGCUUUGAGGAUAGUUUCUUGGAUAAAACAUGUCAUUACAGAGAAGGUGCAGAUAACCUUGAUCUUCCAGGUGUUACUUCAGCAACAUAGCUCUCAUUAUCCUUGGACAUUGGGCCAUGCUGCCUGGGGCUGCUUUAGAGGAAAUGAACAGAUUUUUAAGGCUGCAUGUAUGCUGCACAUUGGAAUCUGUAUUAAAAUUCAAUUUAAUUGUCAUGGUUUUCCCAAGGAACAUUGGGGAAUGUGGUUUUGUGAGGAUGCCAAAAGGAGCAUAUGAAGCUACUGUACCCUGUCAGGACAUGAGUCUACCUAUGUUCCAUUCCAGUACUGUCUACUCUGAUAAGGCAAAUCUAAAGAAAUGUAGUAUAAACACUGACAACUGGGAAACACUGGCCUGCAAGCAUUCCAAUUGGAGAACAGCCUUUACCAAAGGUGUCAUGGGCUUUGAAGACACUCAAACUCAGAAUGAAAGGGAGACCCGAGCUAAGAGGAAGGCAUGUUUGACAAACCCUCACCAUGAUCAACUCCCACCCAGAAACCUAUGUCCCCACUGUGGAAGGACGUGUGGAUCCAGAAUUGGCCUCCACAGUCACUUACGGACUCACUGUUAAAACUGUGUUUAUGGAAGACAAUCUUACUCGGCUACGAGUGAUCGCCAAAGUGUUAUGCCCUCUCCUCAAAAUUAACACAAGAAGAGCUUGUUGGAUCCCAUCUAGUCUAGUUGAGAAUCUUGCAGUACAGCAACCUGUUCUUGCAGUAGCCAGUGAGAUGCUUCUGGGAUGGCUGCAAGCAUCACCUGAGUGCAACAUCAGUCUCCCCCAUCCAUGAUUCCCAACAACAGCUAUAAAGAGGCAAGGCUGGUAUCCACUGAUACCUUUAUCCUCUCAAUUAUGGAUCCUUAUGCCCUUCACGGGGACGCGGGUGGCGCUGUGGUCUAAACCACAGAGCCUAGGGCUUGCUGAUCAGAAGGUCGGCAGUUCGAAUCCCCGUGAAGGGGUGAGCUCCCGUUGCUUGGUCCCUGCUCCUGCCCAUCUAGCAGUUCAAAAGCACAUCAAAGUGCAAGUAGAUAAAUAGGCACCGCUCCGGCGGGAAGGUAAACAACGUUUCUGUGUGCUGCUCUGGUUUGCCAGAAGCGACUUAGUCAUGCUGGCCACAUGACCCGGAAGCUGUCUGCGGACAAACUCCAGCUCCCUCGGCCAGUAAAACAAGAUGAGUACCGAAACCCCAGAGUCGUCUGCAACUGGACUUAACGGUCAAGGGUCCCUUUCCCUUUAUGCCCUUCACAGCACUACAUCUUCACAUCAAAAUGUCUCAUUUUGUGUACGAUUUUGCCUAAUAUACCUAUAUACAUAUUUUGUUCCUUGAGAUGGGCUCCCUCCCAGUGCUUAGUGUUAAGACCAAGCUCUGGUUUUAGAAAUUCUGAAGAGUGUCUUGGACUUGGAAUACUAUUUUUGUAAAAUUUAUUUUUAUUAAAGAUUUUCUUGGUUUACAAAAGUACACGUGCCUUGUCUCUUUUUUUCCAGGUUGUACAGUCUUUCUUUUAAUUGCAGAACUGUUUGCUAUUUUUCACCCACUUCUGGGGAAAGUAGCAUUUUCUCCUAGGUGAACGAUUUCUACCCCUCUCCUUGCCACACACAAAAUCUUCCUGAACCCCAGCAAGCUAGCGAUGAAGCAUAACUCCUGCUGCGGUUGAUAGCAGAAGAAACUAAUCAAUAGCAGGGAAGAUGAACUGGAUGUAUUUGACACUCAGUAGAAAUCCUAUUCUGAAUACGCAGCAGAGAUCAGCAAAACUGAAUGCACUUCUAUUCACCUGUUCCUAUUAAAUGAGAAAUGUUAUUUGGUGGAAAGGAUAUUUGUGUUGCCGUUGUUGUUUUUUUACCUGGAAUGAUGCCUGCUGGAAAUGGAAACUCUGGCAAUUGUUGUUGUUUUUUUAAUUGGUUUGCAUUUGUUUGAAUGCCAACAGGGGUUAUCCUGAAAACUGGCCUCUUUGCUCAUUAUGGCAUUUAAUUGAAUACUGGAGAAAUAUUAAGUGCUUUACAGAGGUUCAACAUUGGGCCAUUGAGAUCUCAGCACCUGCAAAAUUCUGCUAUCUCAAAGCUUAAUUUGGUGCAUUGCUCAUAUAGACUGCAAAUAGCCCAGCGCUUUGUGGGAGCCCCAAUGUGAACAUAAUAGUCUCAUGCCAGACAGGCUUCCUCCAUUCAUUUAAGUGUAUGGAAAAGUCCAGCAUGAGCAAUAGAUCUGCAUCCUGGAAUACUGAAGUGAAUAAGGCAGCCGUGGCUCACACAGAGCAUUAAAGCACACAUAAACUCCAGGCGGGAGCAAGAAAAACACCUGGUUUUUUUUUUAAAAAAACUGUGGGACAGAAUUGGAUGAAAUUUCCAGGCAAGGUUGGCUCCUGCCAAAUUGCAGAAGUGCUUUCCCCACAAGGGUAGUAUGUACACUUAAGGGUGGAUAAAAAGGGAACCGUUCGAUCUCCCUUACAGUUUUGUGGGCAAUUGGUUUGGAAAUUGAAGACUCAAGUGAAAUUUCCCUGGGCCAGAAACCUGCUGAAUUGCACAUCAAUGGCCCCAAUGGGAGUUGUGCUGGGCACCAUUUAAACUGAUUGAGAGUGGACUGAAAAGGAAUGUACUUUUCAGGUAAAACUAUUCCCCCUGGUUACAAGCUUUACCUAGCAGUCACAGUGGAACUCUCCCUCCACCUUCUCACCCUGCUGUUUGCUUACCCUAACACUCAUCACUCCAUAUGGUAAGCUUGGAAGUGCUUAGUUUUGUUUUUAGCAGUUGCCUGUUUCCAGCAUCUUGUUUGUUUUUAACAUCAGGAUUGCUGAGGCACCAUGAAACACUGACAGGGUCCCUCCUGUGAUUGUCACCUCAUGCUGAUCCCUCGUUGCCUAAGAGCAGUAGGCUUGUAAUCUGGGGGACCGGGUUCGCGUCUCCGCUCCUCCACAUGCAGCUGCUGGGUGACCUUGGGCCAGUCACACUUCUCUGAAGUCUCUCAGCCCCACUCACCUCACAGAGUGUUUGUUGUGGGGGAGGAAGGGAAAGGAGAAUGUUAGCUGCUUUGAGCCUCCUUUGGGUAGUGAUAAAGCGGGAUAUCAAAUCCAAACUCCUCCUCUCCUUCUUCUGACAAGCCCAAGAACCCUCCAGGGUGCUCCAUUUCAGCUUGAAAUUUCCCCGUAUGUGAUGCAUACCCAUAGUUAUUUGCCUGGAGGAAACUUAACCUCAGCCUCAAAGAGGCUUUAAGUAUUAGACACACCCCAUUCACAUGGACUCCAAACAGCAUAUGGCUGGUUGUAUAUUGGCUGGGUCCAUAUGCAGACUUGUUUUGAUAGCAGGUGUAGCUUGCCACAAAAGUGCUAUGCUCAUAGCAGGGGAGGAAAUCUACUCUCUAGCAAGGGCCCCAUUACAGUGGUAUCUCGGUUUAAGAACAGUCCUGUUUAAGAACAAUUUGGUUUACAAACUCCUCAAAACCAGAAACCGUGCCCUGGUGUGAGAACCUUACCUCGGUCUAAGAAUGGAAUCCAAAGGGUGGAAGGGCACUGGCGGCAGGAAGCCUCAUUAAGGAAAGCGUGCCUCAGUUUAAGAAUGGUUUUGGUUUAAGAACGGACUUCCGGAACGGAUUAAGUUCGUAAACCGAGGUACCACUGUACCCCCAAGGGUCAGUGGUGAUGGGUGCAUUUCUCUUUCCCCACCCAUGGAUCCAUCUAUGGGUCCAUUGAGUUGCGUAUGGAAAGGCAGAGAUCCACAUGAAAAAGAAACACAACAUUUCAUCCCUCUCCCAUAUCAUUGUGCUUGGAGUGCCCUAGGAAAAGGAUUCACUCUGGUUAAAAGACAGACCUGUCCAUCAAAAUGAAAGAUACCUCCACUCCCAAUCAACCUCUCACCAGUCAGCUUGGUUUCCAUUCAGUGGGGAAACAGUUGUAUGUGGUGUGAAAGCUAAGGGAGUCUCUGAUCCAACUCAAGAUAUUUUGUUUUGUUGUAGUAGUUGUUGCUGCUGUUGUUGUUUCUUAUAAUGAGGUGAUUACAGUAAACCUGUUCAAUUAAUUCUUU